UUUUUAUGGAGAGUUUGAUCCUGGCUCAGGACGAACGCUGGCGGCGUGCCUAAUACAUGCAAGUCGAGCGAACAGAUAAGGAGCUUGCUCCUUUGACGUUAGCGGCGGACGGGUGAGUAACACGUGGGUAACCUACCUUAUAGUUUGGGAUAACUCCGGGAAACCGGGGCUAAUACCGAAUAAUCUAUU
RNAcentral lists this ribosomal RNA (189 nucleotides) under Lysinibacillus sp. AC-3. Its description in RNAcentral is "16S rRNA. Bacterial SSU". It matches the Rfam family "Bacterial small subunit ribosomal RNA", at positions 1 to 182 of the family's 1533-position model. The record is from RNAcentral. Lineage: Bacteria; Bacillati; Bacillota; Bacilli; Caryophanales; Bacillaceae.